UCUGCUUCUCACUCGUCGAGGCUGAUGAGAAAGCACAGACUCUGUGGCUCAGGUUUCUUGAAAGUCUUCCACUGACGUGACUGAGAGUUCAUGACUUGGGAUGUGGUGACACAAAGAGACAAGACACCUCUCUCUCAGCUUGGAGAGAGGCUGUGCGACAUUCUGCUGCCGAGAUAAGGAACUUCCAAUUUGGCACGAGCUGCAAACGGCGAUGAAGAUGGAGGGCCACUGCGUGCACCUCUGGCUUUUAAUUCCCCCUGCCCUACUUCCUCCUCCUUAGUCCUGCUCUCCCCUCCCUCAAAGCCCAUCCGUGCUGUGUGCAGUGCCCUCAAAGAGCAAGUGGGAGGAGGCUCUCUGUGUGUGUGUGUGUCUGUGUUUGUGUAUGAAAGAAGGGCAGCCCCUCUCCCCAAGAAGAGACCCUCUCAACAACUCCAGGCCACCCUGCCGCAGCUUAUAGGUUCUCGGUGCCAGGAAGCCAUUUUGAUGGAGUCAAAUGCCGUUUUGUAAGAUGGCCGCAUUGACGUGAGAUUAUUAUGAUGGGGAAUUUCAAGAACUUGGAAAACGUUGAUUUUUUUGGUCACGUUUACUACGGAUGAAGGCAUGUCUGCUUUUCCUGUUUCACAUGGACCUGAUUUUCAAACCAUCUUUCUUCAGGAUACCCUACACAGCAAGAACUUUCUUGGGACUCUAGGCUUUGCAUUUUCUGGAUUGUCUAAUGAGACAGGGGAACUGGGCCAGAAAAGCCCGUCUCUGGACACGGAAAUGGGACAGUGUUGGGUCUCCAUCUUUCUAGAGUCUGCCAUGCUUUGCUGAUUUGGAUCACACAUGGAAACCAAGAGCAGCUCUGUACAGCUAGGUGCUGAAGGAGGAGGAGGAGGAAAACAACCAUGGCAAAGAAGCAAAUGUCUGAACUGUGAACUCUCUUAUCUGUAGUCAUUGAUGUCAUUAAGAGGGAUAUGGUAUCAUUGAUAUGGCUUGUGACUCAAUGGAGAUAGACAACUGGGGGACCUGAGCUGAUUGUUGGGGGCUGAUUUCACCUAGGAUCACUUAACCUUUUUGGCACAGGCAUCAGAAAAUGACUGGGCCAGUAGCUUUUCAAAAUUAUACUCAUUGGAGACACUUUGACUUGGCUACACCAUAUUGAGUGUGUUUUUGGGUGCAAACUCAGGUGACACAUGACACUAUGCAGGCCCGUUAAACAUCAGUGUAGCUUCUGAAAUGUGUACUCUUUCAAUAAGGAGUCCCCCAUGCCUCCAGAUUCCAAGGGAAGAUCAUUGAUUGGGGAAGCUUGUCUGCUGUUAAAGAUCUUAACUCAGGAACCUAGGAUUCCCUAGGACCUAGGACUGGGUCUUACACCUGUCUGCAAGAGUGCUGCAGUACUCAACAUGAAUUGCAGCUUCUGGGUCAAGCACAAGGGAAGCCCCACUUAGAGAGCAUUGCAACUAAUCCAGUUUUGAUGUUUUGGUUGGGCUCCACAACAUGACAACACAUGGCAUCAGGUAUGGUCCGGGUCUGGUCUGUGCCUAAAUGGGUGACUUCCUGGGAACAAUACAGAUUCUGUGAUGGAAGA
Zootoca vivipara (common lizard) is the source of this 1570-nucleotide non-coding RNA. NCBI's taxonomy places the organism in Eukaryota, Metazoa, Chordata, Lepidosauria, Squamata, Lacertidae. The record is from RefSeq and is a predicted model, not a curated record.